CGGCGGACGGGUGAGUAAUGCCUAGGAAUCUGCCUGGUAGUGGGGGAUAACGUUCGGAAACGAACGCUAAUACCGCAUACGUCCUACGGGAGAAAGCAGGGGACCUUCGGGCCUUGCGCUAUCAGAUGAGCCUAGGUCGGAUUAGCUAGUUGGUGAGGUAAUGGCUCACCAAGGCGACGAUCCGUAACUGGUCUGAGAGGAUGAUCAGUCACACUGGAACUGAGACACGGUCCAGACUCCUACGGGAGGCAGCAGUGGGGAAUAUUGGACAAUGGGCGAAAGCCUGAUCCAGCCAUGCCGCGUGUGUGAAGAAGGUCUUCGGAUUGUAAAGCACUUUAAGUUGGGAGGAAGGGCAGUUACCUAAUACGUAAUUGUUUUGACGUUACCGACAGAAUAAGCACCGGCUAACUCUGUGCCAGCAGCCGCGGUAAUACAGAGGGUGCAAGCGUUAAUCGGAAUUACUGGGCGUAAAGCGCGCGUAGGUGGUUCGUUAAGUUGGAUGUGAAAUCCCCGGGCUCAACCUGGGAACUGCAUUCAAAACUGUCGAGCUAGAGUAUGGUAGAGGGUGGUGGAAUUUCCUGUGUAGCGGUGAAAUGCGUAG
RNAcentral lists this ribosomal RNA (601 nucleotides) under Pseudomonas frederiksbergensis. RNAcentral's name for it is "bacterial SSU rRNA". It matches the Rfam family "Bacterial small subunit ribosomal RNA", at positions 96 to 693 of the family's 1533-position model. Lineage: Bacteria; Pseudomonadati; Pseudomonadota; Gammaproteobacteria; Pseudomonadales; Pseudomonadaceae. The record is from RNAcentral.